This 507-nucleotide ribosomal RNA is filed under the name uncultured bacterium. RNAcentral describes it as "bacterial SSU rRNA". It matches the Rfam family "Bacterial small subunit ribosomal RNA", at positions 38 to 507 of the family's 1533-position model. The record is from RNAcentral.
GGCGGCAUGCUUAACACAUGCAAGUCGAACGGACGACCUUCAAUUGAAUCUUCGGAGGAAAGCGAAGGAAGUUAGUGGCGGACGGGUGAGUAACGCGUGGGUAACCUACCCUUAAAUUGGGACAACAGUUGGAAACGACUGCUAAUACCGAAUGUGAUAUUCUGGAGACAUCUCCGGGAUAGGAAAGAUGGCUGAGCUUGAUGCUAUCGUUAAAGGAUGGACCCGCGUCUGAUUAGCUAGUUGGUGAGGUAGAGGCUCACCAAGGCAUCGAUCAGUAGCCGACCUGAGAGGGUGACCGGCCACAUUGGGACUGAGACACGGCCCAGACUCCUACGGGAGGCAGCAGUGGGGAAUUUUCCGCAAUGGGCGAAAGCCUGACGGAGCAAUGCCGCGUGAAUGAAGAAGGUCUUCGGAUCGUAAAGUUCUGUCAUUAGGGAAGAAAGGUAUGUAUGUAAAUAAUGUACAUAUUUGACGGUACCUAAGGAGGAAGCCACGGCUAACUACGUG